GCCGGUUUAGCUUAGUGGUAGAGCGUUGCACUUGUAUACCAAGGGUCAAAAAGAUCAUACAAUGCAAAGGUCGGUUGUUCAAUCCAGCCAACCGGCA
Non-coding RNA from Marasmius oreades (fairy-ring Marasmius), 97 nucleotides. NCBI's taxonomy places the organism in Eukaryota, Fungi, Basidiomycota, Agaricomycetes, Agaricales, Marasmiaceae. The record is from the annotation of a RefSeq genome assembly.